Molecule: non-coding RNA, 905 nt
Organism: Cucurbita pepo subsp. pepo (vegetable marrow)
Lineage: Eukaryota; Viridiplantae; Streptophyta; Magnoliopsida; Cucurbitales; Cucurbitaceae
Source: RefSeq, a predicted model, not a curated record
ACGAACUUCUGCGAUCGCGGUAGUUUUUUCCCGCGAAAACUUGUUGAAUCAUUUUCACACAAUGUUUCUCCACUCUUCCAAUCCCAAAGUCUCGAAUCGUCUAUGAAAAAAGAAGAACAGAUCUUCACUGCGCUCUGUUUAUGUAAGUUCGAAGGCUCGAGGGGGGGUGUUUGAUGAGGUUGCCUUGCAUGAAAUGGAUUUGGGGGGCGGAGGCUUGGAAGUAGUUAUUGCGAGAUUUCGAUGGCGUUGAUGUGUGCGGUCGUGUCACAGUUCCCGAUUACGAUGGAUCAUCUGCAAAAUAUUGGAGCAACGCUUGCAGGCUAUGUGAAUAAGAUAAUGAAAAGAAGCUUAAUGACGUAAAGGCUAGGGAUCAGGACAUGAAAAAGUUGGUGAGUAACAUGUUAUGCUGUGGUGGGGCAUGCUGAUGCAGGGAAUUUCUGUCUUUUAUUCUCUGGUACCACCUCCACCUUACCAUUUGCUAAACAGGUAUCUCCUUAUACAUGAACUGCAGAUAAAGAUCUUGAGACGAGAGUUUGACAGGUUCAACAGUCGAGAAUGUUGAAGACUUGAAUUCAGGAAACGUUUAAUGGAAGAGUAGAAGAAAUAAUGCACUGCUUGCUUUUUUAGAUGUUUCUAAAUACUCAGACGUCCUUGGACACAAGUUAUAGCGCUUAAAGAUUGCAAGGUGAAUGCUGCUAUUCUUCUGAGCCAGAAACACGUAAAAGACGAAUGUCACAGAGUUUCUUCAAAUUCAUCUGUUAGAAAAUAGCUUCUGCUUACCCGAGAGCUGGGAUUGUCUGCAAAAGUAAAUUGGUUCUUCAGGUGCAACAGCUUCAAAUUUGCAAAACCCAUCAUCAAAAUUUAGAGCAUAGCUGCAAGGAUCAUAUUGAAAAUUGAACCUUCUU